AUAACCGGCGAUUUCCGAAUGGGGAAACCCAGUGUGUUUCGACACACUAUCAUUAACUGAAUCCAUAGGUUAAUGAGGCGAACCGGGGGAACUGAAACAUCUAAGUACCCCGAGGAAAAGAAAUCAACCGAGAUUCCCCCAGUAGCGGCGAGCGAACGGGGAGGAGCCCAGAGCCUGAAUCAGUGUGUGUGUUAGUGGAAGCGUCUGGAAAGGCGCGCGAUACAGGGUGACAGCCCCGUACACAAAAAUGCACAUGCUGUGAGCUCGAUGAGUAGGGCGGGACACGUGGUAUCCUGUCUGAAUAUGGGGGGACCAUCCUCCAAGGCUAAAUACUCCUGACUGACCGAUAGUGAACCAGUACCGUGAGGGAAAGGCGAAAAGAACCCCGGCGAGGGGAGUGAAAAAGAACCUGAAACCGUGUACGUACAAGCAGUGGGAGCCUCUUAAUGGGGUGACUGCGUACCUUUUGUAUAAUGGGUCAGCGACUUAUAUUCUGUAGCAAGGUUAACCGAAUAGGGGAGCCGAAGGGAAACCGAGUCUUAACUGGGCGUUAAGUUGCAGGGUAUAGACCCGAAACCCGGUGAUCUAGCCAUGGGCAGGUUGAAGGUUGGGUAACACUAACUGGAGGACCGAACCGACUAAUGUUGAAAAAUUAGCGGAUGACUUGUGGCUGGGGGUGAAAGGCCAAUCAAACCGGGAGAUAGCUGGUUCUCCCCGAAAGCUAUUUAGGUAGCGCCUCGUGAAUUCAUCUCCGGGGGUAGAGCACUGUUUCGGCAAGGGGGUCAUCCCGACUUACCAACCCGAUGCAAACUGCGAAUACCGGAGAAUGUUAUCACGGGAGACACACGGCGGGUGCUAACGUCCGUCGUGAAGAGGGAAACAACCCAGACCGCCAGCUAAGGUCCCAAAGUCAUGGUUAAGUGGGAAACGAUGUGGGAAGGCCCAGACAGCCAGGAUGUUGGCUUAGAAGCAGCCAUCAUUUAAAGAAAGCGUAAUAGCUCACUGGUCGAGUCGGCCUGCGCGGAAGAUGUAACGGGGCUAAACCAUGCACCGAAGCUGCGGCAGCGACACUAUGUGUUGUUGGGUAGGGGAGCGUUCUGUAAGCCUGUGAAGGUGGCCUGUGAGGGUUGCUGGAGGUAUCAGAAGUGCGAAUGCUGACAUAAGUAACGAUAAAGCGGGUGAAAAGCCCGCUCGCCGGAAGACCAAGGGUUCCUGUCCAACGUUAAUCGGGGCAGGGUGAGUCGACCCCUAAGGCGAGGCCGAAAGGCGUAGUCGAUGGGAAACAGGUUAAUAUUCCUGUACUUGGUGUUACUGCGAAGGGGGGACGGAGAAGGCUAUGUUGGCCGGGCGACGGUUGUCCCGGUUUAAGCGUGUAGGCUGGUUUUCCAGGCAAAUCCGGAAAACCAAGGCUGAGGCGUGAUGACGAGGCACUACGGUGCUGAAGUGACAAAUGCCCUGCUUCCAGGAAAAGCCUCUAAGCAUCAGGUAACAUCAAAUCGUACCCCAAACCGACACAGGUGGUCAGGUAGAGAAUACCAAGGCGCUUGAGAGAACUCGGGUGAAGGAACUAGGCAAAAUGGUGCCGUAACUUCGGGAGAAGGCACGCUGAUAUGUAGGUGAAGCGACUUGCUCGUGGAGCUGAAAUCAGUCGAAGAUACCAGCUGGCUGCAACUGUUUAUUAAAAACACAGCACUGUGCAAACACGAAAGUGGACGUAUACGGUGUGACGCCUGCCCGGUGCCGGAAGGUUAAUUGAUGGGGUUAGCGGUAACGCGAAGCUCUUGAUCGAAGCCCCGGUAAACGGCGGCCGUAACUAUAACGGUCCUAAGGUAGCGAAAUUCCUUGUCGGGUAAGUUCCGACCUGCACGAAUGGCGUAAUGAUGGCCAGGCUGUCUCCACCCGAGACUCAGUGAAAUUGAACUCGCUGUGAAGAUGCAGUGUACCCGCGGCAAGACGGAAAGACCCCGUGAACCUUUACUAUAGCUUGACACUGAACAUUGAGCCUUGAUGUGUAGGAUAGGUGGGAGGCUUUGAAGUGUGGACGCCAGUCUGCAUGGAGCCGACCUUGAAAUACCACCCUUUAAUGUUUGAUGUUCUAACGUUGGCCCCUAAUCGGGGUUGCGGACAGUGUCUGGUGGGUAGUUUGACUGGGGCGGUCUCCUCCUAAAGAGUAACGGAGGAGCACGAAGGUUGGCUAAUCCUGGUCGGACAUCAGGAGGUUAGUGCAAUGGCAUAAGCCAGCUUGACUGCGAGCGUGACGGCGCGAGCAGGUGCGAAAGCAGGUCAUAGUGAUCCGGUGGUUCUGAAUGGAAGGGCCAUCGCUCAACGGAUAAAAGGUACUCCGGGGAUAACAGGCUGAUACCGCCCAAGAGUUCAUAUCGACGGCGGUGUUUGGCACCUCGAUGUCGGCUCAUCACAUCCUGGGGCUGAAGUAGGUCCCAAGGGUAUGGCUGUUCGCCAUUUAAAGUGGUACGCGAGCUGGGUUUAGAACGUCGUGAGACAGUUCGGUCCCUAUCUGCCGUGGGCGCUGGAGAACUGAGGGGGGCUGCUCCUAGUACGAGAGGACCGGAGUGGACGCAUCACUGGUGUUCGGGUUGUCAUGCCAAUGGCACUGCCCGGUAGCUAAAUGCGGAAGAGAUAAGUGCUGAAAGCAUCUAAGCACGAAACUUGCCCCGAGAUGAGUUCU
This 2686-nucleotide ribosomal RNA is filed under the name Escherichia coli. RNAcentral describes it as "bacterial LSU rRNA". It matches the Rfam family "Bacterial large subunit ribosomal RNA". Lineage: Bacteria; Pseudomonadati; Pseudomonadota; Gammaproteobacteria; Enterobacterales; Enterobacteriaceae. The record is from RNAcentral.